UACGUAGGUGGCAAGCGUUGUCCGGAUUUACUGGGCGUAAAGGGCGUGCAGGCGGUUUGUUAAGUCUAGGGUGAAAGCUCCUGGCUCAACUGGGAGAGGUCCUUGGAUACUGGCGAACUUGAGGGAUGCAGAGGAAAGUGGAAUUCCCGGUGUAGUGGUGAUAUGCGUAGAUAUCGGGAGGAACACCAGUGGCGAAGGCGGCUUUCUGGGCAUUUCCUGACGCUGAGGCGCGAAAGCGUGGGGAGCAAACAGG
RNAcentral lists this ribosomal RNA (253 nucleotides) under uncultured bacterium. Its description in RNAcentral is "partial 16S ribosomal RNA". It matches the Rfam family "Bacterial small subunit ribosomal RNA", at positions 524 to 776 of the family's 1533-position model. The record is from RNAcentral.